This 513-nucleotide ribosomal RNA is filed under the name bacterium enrichment culture clone ALO1_GLFRUDD03G33YM. RNAcentral describes it as "bacterial SSU rRNA". It matches the Rfam family "Bacterial small subunit ribosomal RNA", at positions 9 to 517 of the family's 1533-position model. The record is from RNAcentral.
GAGUUUGAUCGUGGCUCAGAUUGAACGCUGGCGGCAGGCCUAACACAUGCAAGUCGAGCGGAUGACGGGAGCUUGCUCCUUGAUUCAGCGGCGGACGGGUGAGUAAUGCCUAGGAAUCUGCCUGGUAGUGGGGGGCAACGUUUCGAAAGGAACGCUAAUACCGCAUACGUCCUACGGGAGAAAGCAGGGGACCUUUGGGCCUUGCGCUAUCAGAUGAGCCUAGGUCGGAUUAGCUAGUUGGUGGGGUAAUGGCUCACCAAGGCGACGAUCCGUAACUGGUCUGAGAGGAUGAUCAGUCACACUGGAACUGAGACACGGUCCAGACUCCUACGGGAGGCAGCAGUGGGGAAUAUUGGACAAUGGGCGAAAGCCUGAUCCAGCCAUGCCGCGUGUGUGAAGAAGGUCUUCGGAUUGUAAAGCACUUUAAGUUGGGAGGAAGGGCAGUAAGUUAAUACCUUGCUGUUUUGACGUUACCGACAGAAUAAGCACCGGCUAACUCUGUGCCAGCCGCCG